CCAUUGAAGUUUCAGAUCUAAGCUUCAUCGAAGAUUCAGAUCGAAGCGAUUUCGAAGCUCCAUUGAAGUUUCAGAUCUAAGCUUCAUCGAAGGUUCAGAUUGAAGCUCCAUUGAUGCGAUUUCGAAGCUCCAUUGAAGCGAUUUCGAAGAUUCAGAUCUGAACACUGACCCCUCGAUUACUCGCAUUUCAAGUUCCAAUGGUGGCAAAUAGUCUACUUUGUUUCUGAACUGUAAUCGAUGACUGCACACCGUGCCUUCCAGUUCUGCAAGCAAUACAAACGCACAACAGAGUUUCGCAGGCUAUGUGAAAUCAUCAGGAAUCAUUUGGCCAACCUUAAUAAAUACAGAGACCAGAGGGACCGACCUGAUCUAUCAGCUCCAGAAAGCUUGCAAUUGUAUCUUGAUACAAGAUUUGAGCAGUUAAAGAUUGCAACCGAACUUGAACUCUGGCAGGUCUGCGUAUUUGGUUAUGCUUGAGAGUAGAGAAGUGGCACAUGAAUUUCCAUGCUUGAAAGAAAUAUCUGGGAUUUCACAAGACCUGUCAAUUAUG
Molecule: non-coding RNA, 550 nt
Organism: Camellia sinensis
Lineage: Eukaryota; Viridiplantae; Streptophyta; Magnoliopsida; Ericales; Theaceae
Source: RefSeq, a predicted model, not a curated record